ACUUGUACCUGGUGGCGAGCGGCGGACGGGUGAGUAAUGCCUAGGAAUCUGCCUGGUAGUGGGGGAUAACGCUCGGAAACGGACGCUAAUACCGCAUACGUCCUACGGGAGAAAGCAGGGGACCUUCGGGCCUUGCGCUAUCAGAUGAGCCUAGGUCGGAUUAGCUAGUUGGUGAGGUAAUGGCUCACCAAGGCGACGAUCCGUAACUGGUCUGAGAGGAUGAUCAGUCACACUGGAACUGAGACACGGUCCAGACUCCUACGGGAGGCAGCAGUGGGGAAUAUUGGACAAUGGGCGAAAGCCUGAUCCAGCCAUGCCGCGUGUGUGAAGAAGGUCUUCGGAUUGUAAAGCACUUUAAGUUGGGAGGAAGGGCAUUAACCUAAUACGUUAGUGUUUUGACGUUACCGACAGAAUAAGCACCGGCUAACUCUGUGCCAGCAGCCGCGGUAAUACAGAGGGUGCAAGCGUUAAUCGGAAUUACUGGGCGUAAAGCGCGCGUAGGUGGUUUGUUAAGUUGGAUGUGAAAUCCCCGGGCUCAACCUGGGAACUGCAUUCAAAACUGACAAGCUAGAGUAUGGUAGAGGG
This 585-nucleotide ribosomal RNA is filed under the name Pseudomonas mandelii PD30. RNAcentral describes it as "bacterial SSU rRNA". It matches the Rfam family "Bacterial small subunit ribosomal RNA", at positions 78 to 658 of the family's 1533-position model. The record is from RNAcentral. Lineage: Bacteria; Pseudomonadati; Pseudomonadota; Gammaproteobacteria; Pseudomonadales; Pseudomonadaceae.